Molecule: ribosomal RNA, 463 nt
Filed under: uncultured bacterium
Lineage: Bacteria
Description: bacterial SSU rRNA
Rfam family: Bacterial small subunit ribosomal RNA
Source: RNAcentral
ACGGCAGCACGGAGCUUGCUCUGGUGGCGAGUGGCGAACGGGUGAGUAAUAUAUCGGAACGUACCCUGGAGUGGGGGAUAACGUAGCGAAAGUUACGCUAAUACCGCAUACGAUCUAAGGAUGAAAGUGGGGGAUCGCAAGACCUCAUGCUCGUGGAGCGGCCGAUAUCUGAUUAGCUAGUUGGUGGGGUAAAGGCCUACCAAGGCAUCGAUCAGUAGCUGGUCUGAGAGGACGACCAGCCACACUGGAACUGAGACACGGUCCAGACUCCUACGGGAGGCAGCAGUGGGGAAUUUUGGACAAUGGGCGAAAGCCUGAUCCAGCAAUGCCGCGUGAGUGAAGAAGGCCUUCGGGUUGUAAAGCUCUUUUGUCAGGGAAGAAACGGUGGGCUCUAAUACAGCCUGCUAAUGACGGUACCUGAAGAAUAAGCACCGGCUAACUACGUGCCAGCAGCCGCGGUAAU